This is a long non-coding RNA of Astatotilapia calliptera (eastern happy), 465 nucleotides long. NCBI's taxonomy places the organism in Eukaryota, Metazoa, Chordata, Actinopteri, Cichliformes, Cichlidae. The record is from Ensembl.
AAUAAUAAUAAUAAUAACAGAAUUUUUUUUUUUUAGUUCAAGUGAAAUGUUCAAACUCACCAGUUUUCUGAACCGUGACUGAGUCACUUUCUGUAAUGAUGAUAUUUUUCCCUUCAGCCCUGCAGGUGUACGUGCCUCCUUCAGACACAGAGAUCGUUCUGCCUGAUUCAUCAGUUAUUAUGGACUUUUCUUCAGAUGACGUUUGUCUGAACCACUCAUAUUUUAAGUCAGCAGAUUCCUUCACAUCACAGGUCAGUGUCACACUGCCCCCUGCUGGUAUGGUUGUGCUGUCUGCUGUUAGUACGGGCUUGUCAUGUACUGUAAGUUAGAAAUACAAAAAAAAAAAAAAAAAAAUCCCCCCAAAACAAGAGAACUAUUGUCACUGCAGGUUUAGUGAGAAUUUUAAAAAGACCAUUAUGUUUUACUAGAUUUGUAGCUCUGCAUCUGUUCACCACCACAGUCAAU